Molecule: transfer RNA, 63 nt
Filed under: Cavia porcellus (domestic guinea pig)
Lineage: Eukaryota; Metazoa; Chordata; Mammalia; Rodentia; Caviidae
Rfam family: tRNA
About the family: Transfer RNA (tRNA) molecules are approximately 80 nucleotides in length. Their secondary structure includes four short double-helical elements and three loops (D, anti-codon, and T loops).
Source: Rfam by way of RNAcentral
GGGGAUUUAGCUUACAGCAAAAGCGCCUGCCUUGCAAGCAGGCAGUCAUGAGUUUGAUCCCCG